AUCACAGUGCAUGAGGGCAAUUUACCUCCUCAAGGGGAGGAGUUUGCUGGCACUCAGCUCUAGGAAACAAUCAGCUGGCUGGUGGUGGUCCUCAAGCUCUGCUUGCUUGUGUGGGGAGCAGUCCCAGCCAUGGCAGAGAAGCACCUACUGCCCUUCCUGCUCCCAAUAACCACGGCUCACAACCAGCCUCAAUCAGCAGCUACACAAAUCUACCAAGGACAAGAAUGAUGAGCAAUAAUUUAAUACCAUUUACAUCACCAGCUCGGUUGCUAAAGGAAGAAACAAGCUGCGCUGAAUGCAACACUUCUACAAAAUACAUUCAAGGCUCACCUGAUGUGACGGACAAAUUCAAAUUUACAUCCCAGCUUUCCAGCUAA
Molecule: long non-coding RNA, 377 nt
Filed under: Corvus moneduloides (New Caledonian crow)
Lineage: Eukaryota; Metazoa; Chordata; Aves; Passeriformes; Corvidae
Description: lncRNA (ENSCMUG00000019221.1)
Source: RNAcentral